Molecule: ribosomal RNA, 253 nt
Filed under: uncultured bacterium
Lineage: Bacteria
Description: partial 16S ribosomal RNA
Rfam family: Bacterial small subunit ribosomal RNA
Source: RNAcentral
UACGUAGGGCGCAAGCGUUGUCCGGAAUUAUUGGGCGUAAAGAGCUCGUAGGCGGCCUGUUGCGUCCGCUGUGAAAUCCCGGGGCUUAACCCCGGGCUUGCAGUGGAUACGGGCAGGCUGGAGGCAGGCAGGGGAGAACGGAAUUCCCGGUGUAGCGGUGAAAUGCGUAGAUAUCAUAAGGAACACCGGUGGCGAAGGCGGUUACCUGGAAGAUUCCUGACUCUGAAACACGAAAGCCAGGGGAGCAAACGGG